UUACACAUGCAAGUCGAACGGUUACCGGUCUUCGGAUGCUGACGAGUGGCGAACGGGUGAGUAAUACCUCGGACCGUGCCCAGUAAUGGGGGAUAGCUCGGCGUAAUGCCGGAUUAAUACCGCAUACGCCCUGCAGGGGGAAAGUUGGGGGAUCUCAUUGACCUCACGUUAUUGGAGCGGCCGAUGGCUGAUUAGCUAGUUGGUAGGGUAAAGGCCUACCAAGGAUACGAUCACUACCUGGUCUGAUAGGACGAUCAGCCGCACUGGAACUGAGACACGGCCCACACUCCUACGGGAGGCAGCAGAGGGUAAUUUUGGACAAUGGGGGAAACCCUGAUCCAGCCAUGCCGCGUGUGCAAAGAAUGCCUUCGGGUUGUUCUGCACUUUUGUCAGGUAAUAAAUCCUUUGGGCUAAUACCCUACGGGGAUGACCGUACCUGAAGAAUAAGCACCGGCUAACUACCUGCCAUCAUCCGCGGUAAUACGUAGGGUGCAAGCGUUAAUCGGAAUUACUGGUCGUAAAGCGUGCGCUAGCGGUUGUGUAAGACAGGUGCGAGAUCCCCGGGCUUAACCUGGCAAUUGAAUUUGUGACUGCACCACUAGAGUGUGUCAGAUGGGGGUGGAAUUCCACGAGUAGCAGUGAAAUGCGUAGAUCUGUGGAGGAACACUCAUGGUGAAGCGCGCCCGCUGGGAUAACACUGACGCUCAUGCAAGAAAGCGUGGCGAGCAAGCAGGAUUAGAUACGUUGGUAGUGCACUCCCUAAAGGAUGUCAACUAUAUUGUUGGGGAUUUACUUCCUUGGUAACGUAGCUCACGCGUGAAGUUGACUGCGUGGGGAGUUCGCCCGCAAGGUUAUAACUCAAAGGAAUGGACGGGGACCCGCACAAGCGGUGGAUGAUGUGGAUUAAUUGGAUGCAGCGCGAAAAACCUUACGUACCCUUGACAUGGCAGGAACUUUCCAGAGAUGGAUUGGUGUUGGAAAGAGAACUUGCACACAGGUGAUGCAUGUCUGUAGUCAGCUUGUGUCGUGAGAUGUUGGGUUAAGUCCCGCAACGAGCGCAACCCUUGUCAUUAGUUGCUAUGAAAGGGCACUUUAAUGAGACUGCCGGUGACAAACCGGAGGAAGGUGGGGAUGACGUCAAGUCCUCAUGGCCCUUAUGGGUAGGGCUUCACACGUCAUACAAUGGUCGGUACAGAGGGUUGCCAAGCCGCGAGGUGGAGCCAAUCCCAGAAAACCCGAUCGUAGUCCGGAUCGCAGUCUGCAACUCGACUGCGUGAAGUCGGAAUCGCUAGUAAUCGCGGAUCAGAAUGCCGCGGUGAAUACGUUCCCGGGUCUUGUACACACCGCCCGUCACACCAUGGGAGUGGGUUGUACCAGAAGUGGCUAGUCUAACCGCAAGGAGGACGGUCACCACGGUAGGAUUCAUGACUGGGGUGAAGUC
Molecule: ribosomal RNA, 1441 nt
Filed under: uncultured organism
Description: 16S ribosomal RNA
Rfam family: Bacterial small subunit ribosomal RNA
Source: RNAcentral